UAUUGCCAUUAAUUAGCUAUUAUUGUGAGUAAUUAAUUUACUUUUUAAUUAAAGGUAAAACAAGCUGUAUCCGCUGUAAAAAGGUUACCAACAAAGAGCAGUCCAGUAAGAAACAUAGUAAUCCUAAAAUACAUUUUAGAUACUGUGCAAAUACAGUAUCACAGCAAAAUCUAAAAUACCAUGUAGUUACUGGAGCCUAAACAGAAACAUAUGUUAGAAAACUGUUGACUGACCACUGUGCUGAAAGUUUCUGUAGACAUAUUCUGGUAAUAUCACAAAAUACAAUCAAGAUAAAAUAAUGUGAACACGUCAAGCUUAAAUAACUUGAAGAAUAUUAAGUGAAAAUAUUAGGGGGACGUUUGGAAAAAAAAGCAUCUAAAUAUAAUGUAAAAUAUGAACUUUGCAUAUCAAAACAGCAGAUACAUGGUAAACUUGUGUAUUUGCCUAUUAUGCCAAUGAAAUCUCCCUCAUAAGCCUGUAAAAUAUUGCAUUUAUGAGAAUUACUAGCGUGACAAUAAGAGAAAACUCCUCUACUGUCUCUCCUUUGGUCUUGUAUCAAUCUGUGUCAUCUACUUUUAUUGCAGUUAGCAGUUUUCUAUAUUUCCCAUAAUGCUCAAAAAAUGUCUUUCGAACUCCACUGUGCGUUUCUGCUUUUAUUUCCUGUGAAAUAGUUUCUGUUUUUGUGAGAGUUUUCCCUUUAAAGAUAGAUGGUGUCAUAUGUUGUUCAAUUUACAAAGCCCCCUGGGGAUAUAUGAUUAAAAUGUUGAACUAUGCCUCUAAAGAAGAUAUUCAGUUAACAGAUAAAAUCUUAAAACGAUGUACUAAUACCACUAUUUAUUUGGGUUAGCUGUUAAUUAACCUAUUUAAUUCACUUUUUUGGUCUGAAUUUUGAUUUGUUUUAUAAAUGUUGGCCAAAUAAAUGCUCAUCAUCUAUCAAUCAUCAUCCUUUUGAGGCUCCUUAAUGUCCUCCAUAAUUUCUGGUCAUAUAUCAGUAAAAGGCUAAGAAGACACCAGUAAAGGGCUCUGAGGCUCAUGAGAGUCAGCAGACUGCAGCUCCCCCUGUGACCUGUCACACACACACACACACACACACACACACACACACACACACACAGUGAUCAAUUAUCAUAACAGAGAGCUUAUUUACUGGUUGUAUCUAUAUGUAUGAAGUCAUCUGAUGGAGGGCUGAUGCUCACAAAGCUCUUCGUUAAUGGUUGCUGCUGUUUAAUGAAACCCAUGAAGGACCGUGCAAUUACUUUAAUGUGUAGUUUAAUAUAUUCUUUUUUUUUUUUUUGGUUUUUCUUCUUUACUUUAAAUUUGUCCUCUUCUGGUUAUUUUGUCUUUGCUUUCCUCUUAAUUCUGGCAUUGUUUGUCUAGUUUUAUUUUCAUCCUUUCCCCUUUUCUUUCCUUUGUUUGCUUUUUCUUUAAUUUUUUUGUUCCCAAUGUCCUGUCUUCCUUCCUUUAUUGCUUUUGUCUGUUUCUUUUUCCGUCCUUCUUUCUUUCUCCAUUUAUUUUUCCUUCCUUCCUUGUCUUCCUGCCUUUACUGCUUUUGUCCAUUUCUUCCUCCCUCCCUCCUUCCUUCCUUCCGCCUUUCCUUCCAAGUUAUUGAGAAGAAUGCAGAUCCAGAGGAAAUGCUGCUCAGUUUUCUGAGAAGAGGUUGGUUUUAUUCUGAUCUAUUCUUUCAAAAUAAAAUCUGAAACUACUGUUAUCUCAUAAGUUGUCGUCAUUUCAGGUUAUGAAUAAAAUUAGGGUAUUGUUGUAGGGCAUUAGCUUAGAUUUUCUCAUGUAUGUUUAACAAAUAAAUAAAAAGGUGGAAUAUCAUUUAUAUACAUUUUGAUUUAUUUAAAUAGUAAUAGUAAAACCCAACCUAUAAAACAAAUCUAAAGAUGUAUUAUUUAAACUUACUGUUUAUUGAGUUUAAUUAAAAAUAUAAUAUAAAGCAUCUAAGAAAAUAUGGGUUUAAUUAAAGCUGCAAUAGAGUUUCUCUGUUCUCUCUGUGCUGUGGGCGUGGCACUCCCUCUCUCAUCACCCAACACACCUGCGCCAAGCCGCACACCUGCGACUCAUCCACUAAUCAAGCGCUGCAGCGUAUCAACCCCGGCCUUUUCCUUCCACUCAUUGCCAGCUCGUUGUUUCAACCCGUGUGGUAGUUCACGUCCCCGGCUCCUAGACCAUUUGUUCUAGUAGCUUUUCUCGCUUGUGCUAACCUUGCUCUCCUUGUGCUCAGGAUCACUGCCUUCCUGCCUGUCAUGCUUGCUUUGUCUCAGCCACACGCACCUCCGGACUUGGACCUCGGUCAGUCCUCAUACCCCUCGGUCUCUGUCCUCUGGUUCCCUUCCCUCAACCCCAUCAAGUCUCUGGAGAACUGUACAAUAAACUCCUUACCUCUCUGAGUCUGCAUUUGUGAAUCGCGACAAGGUGACUUGUAUGAAUGAACUAUUAUCUACAUAUAAUGACCAGUCUGUCCUCUCCUGUCCACCAGUUGGUCUGACUGGUACUAAGUACGGCUGUGGAGGUGGAAGGAUGUGGAGCCUGAACUGUCAUGGUGUCCAGAUACGACCACAACCAGGAGAGAGUUCUUUAUCACUUUGUGCCUUCGAAACGAGAUCAGUUUGCAUGUUUAUAUGCUGUGACGUUCCUUGAUUUGUGAGGGGAGUCCUAAAAAUAAAGCUUUUCACUAGCCUAGUUAUACGUCAGUUUAUUAAUAUAUAACUAUGAUUUUAUCAGCUUUCUAUUUUGAUUUUAAACAUUUCAGUAAACCUAGCUGUAAACUAGGCUUUUUAUUUGUUUUCUAGCAGUAAAAAUUAUCAGAUUUUUAUAUAAAUAUCUUCGAUAGUUUUCGGUUUAAACUUUGAGGUUGCAAAAAUCAAAUAGGAGUGUUCUAUCCAUGACCUUUGAACCAUGCAGAUGCUAUACUGUAUUAUAUAUAUAUAUAUAUAUAUAUAUAUAUAUAUAUAUAAUGUAAUAUAUAUAUAAUGUAUUAAUCAUGAAUUUUAUCUUGAAACAGAAACUGCAUAUAAUUGCAUGGCUAUCAUCAUCUCAACUUGGGGUUUAGAUUUGACUCACAUGCAGCGUGAAAACACGGUUUGGAUUGUAACCUACAGUGUGUGUGGUACAAAUCUAUUUUUACACUUUCACUGAGCCUGUUUGUCCUCACAACAACUGAACCGAUGCUCAACAGAAUCUAACAAAGACUCCUGUCACUGAAGCAUUUAUUUAUCUGAUCAAACAAAUCAGCUGUCAGACUGGUUUGUCACAUUUGUCCACAGCUCUUAUCAGAGGCCCAGCCCUGUGCUGACCCGGUGGGUCGUCCCAGCAUGCAUCAGUCUGCCUUCCAGCAAGCCACAGGUGAAGCAAAGUACUACGACGACCUGCCGCUGGUCCAGGGAGAGCUCUUCAUCUUCAUGGUGACGAGCACCAGAGUCCAUGCCAAAAUCAUUCAAGUAGCAUUCUAUAUCUACGAGUCAAAGAUUUAGUGCCCCCCCUGCUGGCCAUAUCCAAGGACUACAACCCAAACAGUGGCCUUAAACCAUCACUCGCUAGGCUAUAGUUGUUAAUUCAGUUUAGUCAUUUUCUCUGUCUUAUUAAGUUAUGUCAACACAUACAAAACAGCCCUUCUUUUCCUUUAUCACCUGGUCUAACCAUCAGUGUUGUGUCUCUCUUCAUAAACCAGUAAAAUCGACCCGUCAGAGGCCCUUAAGAUGCCCGGUGUGGUCACUUUUGUCUCUGCUGGAGAUGUUCCUGGGGCCAACCGCAGACUCUGGCUCAAUAACCCCGAGCAACUGUUUGCUGAAGAAGAGGUGCUUUGCGUCAGUCAGAUCACCGGUGCAGUGGUGGCAGAGAGCAGGCAACAGGCCAGGAGAGCAGCUCAGAAAGUCCGGGUCACCUACCAGGACCUCCAGCCUGUCUUCUUCACUAUAGAGGAUGCCAUAAAGCAAGUCUUACUUUGAACCCAAGCGGAAGGUGGAGAGGGGUGACGUGGACGAAGCCUUAAAGAAUGCUCAACAUAUUCUGGAGGAUGAGAUCUAUAUGGGCGGUCAAGAGCAUUUCUACAUGGAGACUCAGGGACUGAUCGCUGUUCCCAAAGGAGAAAAUGAAGAGAUGGAUUUGUUUGUGGCUACUCAGCACCCCGCCUUCACUCAGGAACUCGUCGGCAUAGCGCUGGGCAUCGACUGCAACAAGAUCACCUGCCAUGUGAAGAGGCUGGGCGGAGGCUUCGGAGGCAAAGUCAUGAAGAUCGCUUGCCUCUCUGCCAUCACUGCUGCGACAGCAACUCAUUACAUGGAACAAAAAAUGCUCUCAGAGUAAACAAAGAUAAUGUGAUUUUCAGGAAAUAUCAGUAAUUUGUAAAAUAUGGUUUUAUUUGUAAGAACUGGCAGGGCCAUAAGCUGCUGUCUGCAGCGAGGAGAUGACAUGCUGAUCACCAGCGGCAGACCCCCCUUCCUUGGAAAGUACAAGAUUAAUGAAGCUUUCUUCCAGAAGAUAAGUUUAUCUGCAACUGGAUUCUUUAUGGGACCAACCACCGAUGUUGACUGGGAGAAAGGUGAAGGUCAAGCGUACUCUUACUUCACCUUCGGCGCCUGCUGCUCAGAAGUAGAGAUCGACUGUCUCACUGGGGAUCACAAGAACAUCCGGACAUCGUGAUGGAUGUUGGGAAAAGUAUCAAUCCUGCUUUGGACAUUGGACAGGUGGAGGGAGGUUUCGUCCAGGGCGUCGGCCUGUACACCAUCGAGGAGUUGCAGUUCUCCCCAGACGGAGUCCUGAUGACAAGAGGACCGUCUCAGUACAAGGUCCCAGCGACAUCCCAGCUGAGCUCAACGUUCAUCUGCUCGCUAAUGCAGAAAACCCCCACGCCAUCUACCUGUCCAAGGGUAUCGGCGAGCCUCCGGUCUUCUUCGGCUCCACCAUUUUCUUUGCCAUCAAGGCGGCCAUCGCAGCAGCACGCAAAGAGAGAGGACUGGGGGACACUUUCCCUCUGAGCUCGCCUGCAACAGCUGAGAAGAUCCGCAUGGCCAGUCAGGACCACUUCACUAAAACGGCCUCAUCUCCAACGGAUGGGACAGCGACCCCGUGGUGCAUCGACGUGUGAUCAGCCUCAGUCCACAAGGAGACAAAUCUGCGUUAGUUUACAGACUGCUUAGUAUGGCUGUACUGUGACAUCUUAGUUCUUUGUACAGAAGAUAUGAUCAUCAGUGAGAGUCUGUCAUGUACUCGUACAUAAGUAGUGUUCUUUCUUUCUGUGGUUGUGUGCUGCUACUGGAUGAAUAUAGAGGAAACACUAGGUUUAUUUAAUGUAUUUAAUAACUGUUUAAUCGUUUAUUCUUCUGCUAUUGAAAUAGUGAUACUGUAGGAUAAGAGCACAUUCAUUUCACAUUACACACUGUUACAAAUGAAAAUACAUGUAAAAAAAAAAAAGUUAUAGAGUAUAUAUUUUAUAUACAC
This is a long non-coding RNA of Siniperca chuatsi (mandarin fish), 5442 nucleotides long. RefSeq lists it as uncharacterized. Lineage: Eukaryota; Metazoa; Chordata; Actinopteri; Centrarchiformes; Sinipercidae. The transcript is spliced from 11 exons. The record is from RefSeq and is a predicted model, not a curated record.